This 429-nucleotide ribosomal RNA is filed under the name Chloroflexota bacterium. RNAcentral describes it as "Chloroflexi bacterium partial 16S ribosomal RNA". It matches the Rfam family "Bacterial small subunit ribosomal RNA", at positions 355 to 776 of the family's 1533-position model. The record is from RNAcentral. Lineage: Bacteria; Bacillati; Chloroflexota.
UGGGGAAUAUUGCACAAUGGGCGCAAGCCUGAUGCAGCCAUGCCGCGGGUAUGAAGAAGGCCUUCGGGUUGUAAAGUACUUUCAGCGGGGUGGAAGGGAGUAAAGUUAAUACCUUUGCUCAUUGACGUUACCCGCAGAAGAAGCACCGGCUAACUCCGUGCCAGCAGCCGCGGUAAUACGGAGGGUGCAAGCGUUAAUCGGAAUUACUGGGCGUAAAGCGCACGCAGGCGGUCUGUCAAGUCGGAUGUGAAAUCCCCGGGCUCAACCUGGGAACUGCAUUCGAAACUGGCAGGCUAGAGUCUUGUAGAGGGGGGUAGAAUUCCAGGUGUAGCGGUGAAAUGCGUAGAGUUCUGGAGGAAUAACGGUUGCGAAGGCGGCCCCCUGGACAAAGUCUUACGCUCAGGUGCGAAAGCGUGGGGAUCAAACAGG